UACGAAGGUCCCAAGCGUUGUUCGGAAUCAUUGGGCGUAAAGCGAGUGCGGGUGGCUUCUUAAGUCAGGAGUGAAAUCCCAGAGCUUAACUCUGGAAGUGCUUUUGAUACUGGGAAGCUUGAAUGUGGCAGAGGAUACUAGAAUACCUAAUGUAGUGGUGAAAUACGUAGAUAUUAGGUGGAACACCGGUGGCGAAGGCGGGUAUCUGGGCCAACAUUGACACUUAGACUCGAAAGCGUGGGGAUCAAACAGG
Molecule: ribosomal RNA, 253 nt
Filed under: uncultured bacterium
Lineage: Bacteria
Description: partial 16S ribosomal RNA
Rfam family: Bacterial small subunit ribosomal RNA
Source: RNAcentral